UGGGAUGACGUCAAAUCAUCAUGCCCCUUAUGUUCUGGGCUACACACGUGCUACAAUGGCCGGUACAGACGGACGCAAAGCCGGCGAGGCGGAGCAAAUCCGAAAAGCCGGUCUCAGUUCGGAUUGCAGGCUGCAAUUCGCCUGCAUGAAGUCGGAAUCGCUAGUAAUCGCAGGUCAGCAUACUGCGGUGAAUACGUUCCCGGGCCUU
RNAcentral lists this ribosomal RNA (208 nucleotides) under uncultured Desulfosporosinus sp. Its description in RNAcentral is "partial 16S ribosomal RNA". It matches the Rfam family "Bacterial small subunit ribosomal RNA", at positions 1175 to 1382 of the family's 1533-position model. The record is from RNAcentral. Lineage: Bacteria; Bacillati; Bacillota; Clostridia; Eubacteriales; Desulfitobacteriaceae.